GACGAACGCUGGCGGCGUGCCUAAUACAUGCAAGUAGAACGCUGAAGGAGGAGCUUGCUCUUCUGGAUGAGUUGCGAACGGGUGAGUAACGCGUAGGUAACCUGCCUGGUAGCGGGGGAUAACUAUUGGAAACGAUAGCUAAUACCGCAUAACAGUAGAUGUUGCACGACAUUUACUUAAAAGGUGCAAUUGCAUCACUACCAGAUGGACCUGCGUUGUAUUAGCUAGUUGGUGGGGUAACGGCUCACCAAGGCGACGAUACAUAGCCGACCUGAGAGGGUGAUCGGCCACACUGGGACUGAGACACGGCCCAGACUCCUACGGGAGGCAGCAGUAGGGAAUCUUCGGCAAUGGACGGAAGUCUGACCGAGCAACGCCGCGUGAGUGAAGAAGGUUUUCGGAUCGUAAAGCUCUGUUGUAAGAGAAGAACGAGUGUGAGAGUGGAAAGUUCACACUGUGACGGUAUCUUACCAGAAAGGGACGGCUAACUACGUG
This 495-nucleotide ribosomal RNA is filed under the name uncultured bacterium. Its description in RNAcentral is "partial 16S ribosomal RNA". It matches the Rfam family "Bacterial small subunit ribosomal RNA", at positions 28 to 507 of the family's 1533-position model. The record is from RNAcentral.